Molecule: ribosomal RNA, 226 nt
Filed under: uncultured bacterium
Lineage: Bacteria
Description: partial 16S ribosomal RNA
Rfam family: Bacterial small subunit ribosomal RNA
Source: RNAcentral
CACGUAGGAGGCGAGCGUUAUCCGGAUUCACUGGGCGUAAAGCGCGUGCAGGCGGUUCGGUAAGUUGGGCGUGAAAUCUCCCGGCUCAACUGGGAGAGGUCGUUCAAUACUACCGGACUUGAGAGCGAUAGAGGAAAAUGGAAUUCCCGGUGUAGUGGUGAAAUGCGUAGAUAUCGGGAGGAACACCAGUGGCGAAAGCGUAUUUUCUGGAUCGUUUCUGACGCUC